This 614-nucleotide long non-coding RNA is filed under the name Lathyrus oleraceus (garden pea). RNAcentral describes it as "Pisum sativum (pea) long non-coding RNA (PSAT_LNC009479)". Lineage: Eukaryota; Viridiplantae; Streptophyta; Magnoliopsida; Fabales; Fabaceae. The record is from RNAcentral.
GCAAAUGGAGUUGAAAAGCCAAAAUAUUUAUAUGUUACCAAAAAGAAAUGAAAAGAAAAAAGCUUGUGGUAAAGUUGUUUAUACAAUGAUAUAAUAUGCUUCUUUUCUUUCUUGGAGUUGCCUACAUAUGGUUAUGGUUAUGAUGAUAAAAGAUUGAAUCAUUGGCUUUAUACAAUUAUAGUAAACUAGUAUAGUUUUGGGGAAGAUGGAAAUUAGAGGUCCCAUUAUGAUGGUUGCUUUUGGAAAUGUUUUCAAGUGAUUUUUCUUUGAGUGUUGAAUUUGUGGAACUUUAUCUCCGAGUUGAGUUAAGUCUACAAUGUGCUGACUCACUACUAUUUCUCUAGCAUAGAAGUUUAAAACAAAUUGUUUUGGCAAGAAGCACCUGUUUUAUAUUUGGCUAAAUCUUGUGAAUUUUUUACUCCAAUAUUCUUCAUUAUUCUCAAAUUUUACAUGUUUUCAAACUAACUCUCCAUGUACUCAUGUUUCAAAUAAAUUAAUUUUGGUAUAGAGGAUGUCAAUUGCAGUGGCGCCACUCAAUGAAAUAUGUGUGGAGUCACCAUUGUGUUUUAUUAUUAAAUUUUAGUAUUUAAUGAUUUUUUUUGUGUGGUUUUUAA